CCUACGGGAGGCAGCAGUGAGGAAUAUUGGUCAAUGGGCGAGAGCCUGAACCAGCCAAGUCGCGUGAAGGAUGAAGGCUCUAUGGGUUGUAAACUUCUUUUAUAAGGGAAUAAAGUGAGGCACGUGUGCCUUUUUGUAUGUACUUUAUGAAUAAGGAUCGGCUAACUCCGUGCAAGCGUCCGCGGUAAUACGGAGGAUCCGAGCGUUAUCCGGAUUUAUUGGGUUUAAAGGGUGCGUAGAUGGUUUGUUAAGUCAGUGGUGAAAGUUUGGGGCUCAACCUUAAAAUUGCAGUUGAAACUGGCAGACUUGAGUAUAUUUGAGGUAGGCGGAAUGCGUGGUGUAGCGGUGAAAUGCUUAGAUAUCACGCAGAACUCCGAUUGCGAAGGCAGCGUACUAAACUACCACUGACACUGAUGCACGAAAGCGUGGGGAUCAAACAGGAUUAGAUACCCCUGUAGUC
This 460-nucleotide ribosomal RNA is filed under the name uncultured bacterium. RNAcentral's name for it is "partial 16S ribosomal RNA". It matches the Rfam family "Bacterial small subunit ribosomal RNA", at positions 338 to 795 of the family's 1533-position model. The record is from RNAcentral.